Molecule: non-coding RNA, 83 nt
Organism: Anopheles bellator
Lineage: Eukaryota; Metazoa; Arthropoda; Insecta; Diptera; Culicidae
Source: the annotation of a RefSeq genome assembly
GACGAGGUGGCCGAGGGGUUUAAGGCGUUGGACUUCUAAUCCAAUGUGCACUGCACGCGUGGGUUCGAAUCCCAUCCUCGUCG